Molecule: small RNA, 173 nt
Filed under: Gopherus agassizii (Agassiz's desert tortoise)
Lineage: Eukaryota; Metazoa; Chordata; Testudines; Testudinidae
Description: TUC338 (ENSGAGG00000019101.1)
Source: RNAcentral
GUAAGAGAAGGAAGAUAAAAUUCCUAUUUCCACAGAACGGGUACAGCACAUGCAGGGACAAUGGCAGCUUCCCCACAUUUUCCUGCCAGUGUGCCUAAAGCCUGACCUGGAGGUAUGACCUUUACAAAUGAGAGGGUUGUUCAGUCUUCAUAUCCAUUCAGUUUGUGGCCUUU